AGAGUUUGAUCCUGGCUCAGGAUGAGCGCUGGCGGCGUGCUUAACACAUGCAAGUCGAACGAACCUUCGGGUUAGUGGCGGACGGGUGAGUAACGCGUGAGAAUCUGCCCUCAGGAGGGGGAUAACGGCUGGAAACGGCCGCUAAUACCCCAUAUGCCGAGAGGUGAAAUGAAUUUCGCCUGAGGAUGAGCUCGCGUCUGAUUAGCUAGUUGGUGGGGUAAGAGCCUACCAAGGCAUCGAUCAGUAGCUGGUCUGAGAGGAUGAUCAGCCACACUGGGACUGAGACACGGCCCAGACUCCUACGGGAGGCAGCAGUGGGGAAUUUUCCGCAAUGGGCGAAAGCCUGACGGAGCAACGCCGCGUGAGGGAUGAAGGCCUCUGGGCUGUAAACCUCUUUUAUCAAGGAAGAAGAUCUGACGGUACUUGAUGAAUAAGCCACGGCUAAUUCCGUGCCAGCAGCCGCGGUAAUACGGGAGUGGCAAGCGUUAUCCGGAAUUAUUGGGCGUAAAGCGUCCGCAGGCGGCCUGAUAAGUCUGUUGUCAAAGCGUGGAGCUUAACUCCAUUUCGGCAAUGGAAACUGUGAGGCUUGAGUGUGGUAGGGGCAGAGGGAAUUCCCGGUGUAGCGGUGAAAUGCGUAGAUAUCGGGAAGAACACCAGUGGCGAAGGCGCUCUGCUGGGCCAUAACUGACGCUCAUGGACGAAAGCCAGGGGAGCGAAAGGGAUUAGAUACCCCUGUAGUCCUGGCCGUAAACGAUGAACACUAGGUGUCGGGGGAAUCGACCCCCUCGGUGUCGUAGCCAACGCGUUAAGUGUUCCGCCUGGGGAGUACGCACGCAAGUGUGAAACUCAAAGGAAUUGACGGGGGCCCGCACAAGCGGUGGAGUAUGUGGUUUAAUUCGAUGCAACGCGAAGAACCUUACCAGGGUUUGACAUCCUGCGAAUCCCUUGGAAACUUGGGAGUGCCUUCGGGAGCGCAGAGACAGGUGGUGCAUGGCUGUCGUCAGCUCGCGUCGUGAGAUGUUGGGUUAAGUCCCGCAACGAGCGCAACCCACGUCUUUAGUUGCCAGCAUUGAGUUGGGCACUCUAGAGAGACCGCCGGUGAUAAACCGGAGGAAGGUGUGGAUGACGUCAAGUCAUCAUGCCCCUUACAUCCUGGGCUACACACGUACUACAAUGCUACGGACAAAGGGCAGCAAACUCGCGAGAGCUAGCAAAUCCCAUAAACCGUGGCUCAGUUCAGAUCGUAGGCUGCAACUCGCCUACGUGAAGGAGGAAUCGCUAGUAAUCGCAGGUCAGCAUACUGCGGUGAAUACGUUCCCGGGCCUUGUACACACCGCCCGUCACACCAUGGAAGUUGGCCACGCCCGAAGCCGUUACUCCAACCCUUGUGGAGGAGGACGUCGAAGGUGGGGCUGAUGACUGGGGUGAAGUCGUAACAAG
This 1440-nucleotide ribosomal RNA is filed under the name uncultured bacterium. Its description in RNAcentral is "16S ribosomal RNA". It matches the Rfam family "Bacterial small subunit ribosomal RNA". The record is from RNAcentral.